GUCGAGAAUAAUUCACAAUGGACGAAAGUCUGAUGGUGCAACGCCGCGUGGAGGAUGAAGGUCUUCGGAUUGUAAACUCCUGUCAUCGGGGAGUAAGACCUGGCGGUAAAUAGCCGACAGGGUUGAUAGUACCCGAAGAGGAAGGGACGGCUAACUUCGUGCCAGCAGCCGCGGUAAUACGAAGGUCCCAAGCGUUGUUCGGAAUCACUGGGCGUAAAGGGAGCGUAGGCGGCGUGGUAAGUCAGAUGUGAAAUCCCGGGGCUCAACCCCGGAACUGCAUCCGAUACUGCCAUGCUUGAGGGUUGGAGAGGUAGCUGGAAUUCUCGGUGUAGCAGUGAAAUGCGUGGAUAUCGAGAGGAACACUCGUGGCGAAGGCGAGCUACUGGACAACAUCUGACGCUGAGGCUCGAAGGCCAGGGGAGCAAAAGGGAUUAGAAACCCCGGUAGUCC
This 450-nucleotide ribosomal RNA is filed under the name uncultured bacterium. RNAcentral describes it as "partial 16S ribosomal RNA". It matches the Rfam family "Bacterial small subunit ribosomal RNA", at positions 354 to 796 of the family's 1533-position model. The record is from RNAcentral.